AGGAGCUCAAGUUCAGAAGGAGGGAAUUCUGCCAUGUCUACACCCUGGUGUUCCGCCUCAAUGGAAUGUUGGUCUCUGCCCUGGAGUGAGUGAGGCUGGCCAUCCCGAGGCUUGGGGAGAAAUAGGAAGAGCUGAUGCCACUGCUGAUCUCCAUGAAAAUAAGAAGCUUCGUCCUUCUGCCUGGGACAGGAUCUUGGAUGUUGUUGACAGGUGGAUAUUCUCCCAGAUGCAGCUCAGCACCAUAGACCAUCCCAGUCAGCCCCUGGCACCUCCUGGCACCUCCACAACCUGUGUCCACAGUGCCAGAAGUCUUGGAAGUUUCCAGGUGGGCAGGCAAUGCUACUGGGCACACCGGUGGGUGAGGCCUCCUCCAUGCAUCAUUUGUGGAAGUCCAGGACAGAAUCCAGAGAGGAUUGAGCGUGGGCAGUCAUUAGAAGGGAAAAUUCCCACCUAAGGGAGAGGGGCUGCAGCUCCUUGAGCCACCAACCACUUUGUGGGACAAGAGAAAACAUAGUCUUCCUGCCCAACCCCCACUUAGGCCUCCAUAUCCCCCUCCAUUUUUCUUUAAAAAACAAACAGGCAAAAGCCCCAUGCUCCCAGCCUGAAAUAGUGCUCUGGAGGAGCAGGCCUGGGACUGAGUGUUUUCUGCAUAAAUGAGUCUGGGUGGGGAGGAUGCAUGUAUAAACAUGGCCAGGGCGGUGCAGGAGUGCCCAAAGCCAGCUGGCAGCUACAGGCCCCUGCCCCUCAGCACCUGGUCUGUGGCCUGCAGGGCCCUGGCAGUCUCUGGAGUGUGGGCUGGUCUACUUUGUGGAUUCCCAGGUCUGGGGCUACUCACCUGCUGCCCCUACCCAGGAUGUGUGGCCAGGACCCUGCCCUGGAGGGGUUCAAAGUCAGGCAGAGAGAAGAGGACACAAAAUGGCAGCCAGCAAUUGGGGAGCUGCAGCUCAGGACCAGGCUGGCACAUCCUUCCAGCCUCACCCACCAAAGAUCCCCCUCAGAGGUUGGGAACGGGGCCCCAUGUUCACCCCAGACUCCACACAUUUUGGAGGAGACUGCAGGCUGGGAGCAGAGUGGGUCCGGGCACAGGACCCAGCAGGGAAUCCCUCCUCCCGUUCUGGAUCACAGGCUGGCCUGGCCCUGGAGGGCACAAGAGACAGCCAGCACCCUCCUGCUCAGCCCACGGGAUGUGGGGCCACCUGCUGUUAGGGAAAGCUCAUGCCCACCCUCGCUCCCAGACCCUUGGGAGGGGGCUGUCAAAAGCCAGAUGCAGAGAAGGCCACCCAAGAGAGGGACCAGGGCUCUGGCAAGGGCCAGGGGACCAGGCUGCCGGACGUUCUUGUUUACCUCCUAAGAAAAAGACAAAACCAAAAAACCGUGUGGGUGGAAUUUCAAGUUCUGGGGCUUUCUAGGUGGGCCCUGGCUCCCCGAGUCCUCUCUUCCUCCCUCUCCCCGGGCCUGCUCUCUCCCUCUUUGUUGCCAAGCUCAGACGUCGCUGCUGAAACCCAGCCCAGCGUCCGCGAAGCCCGGAAACUUCCAGCUCAGCGACUGUGCACAAAGUUGGGGUGACAGCAGCGCCGGGCUCGGCCGCCGUGGCGACCGCGGCCGCACUCCGCCCGGGCUGCGCGUCGGGACCCCGGACGGUUCGCGGGGUCGGACCUGAACUUGACCGCGAGCGCCCGCGCCGCGGGGCCUCCGGGACCACCUGAAAACCAUCUACCAAUCACCUCUGAAACCACGCUCAGCCUGCCCCUGGGAACACCUGGCGCAGUGUCCGUGAGCACAGAGCAUUUUACACACCAGCGUCUGAGCAUCUCAUUGUGUGUAUGGUUUACCUUCUGCUUGCUUUACUCACUGUCGAACACAGACCUGUGCCUUCCUCAGAUCUUGUUCCGCCAUUGACUUCCACACCUGCUGAUGUUCACUGGACGGUUUCCUUAACUAACUCUCAUCAGACUGCAGAUUCUUCCUGAGCAUUUUCAGUUUUCCCUGCUAGAAACAGCACUGGGAAGCACAUGUGUGCACAUUUCUGUUUCCUAAGGAAGUGAAACCAUGCUUCGGUGCUGGGGCUUCUGGGUAUGGGAGACCUUUUAGUUCCAGAAGUUUCUUAGAAUUUUCUGUGAAAUUCCACCUUGCUCAAGGGCUUCAGCUUUGACUCUCUGGCAGUACUGGUGCGGCAGCCCUGGCAACCAUAACCUGCCUCUUUACAGAUGAGGACCUGGGCUCCCCCAGCAGGGCGAUUCUGCUGCCCUUACUGUAAGGAGGACUCAUGAGUGGCUACUAUGCAGAAAAUGACCAUUUGUCCUGCCAGACCACGGACAGGACUUGAGAGUCCAUGAGUGGCAAGAUGGGCUGCCUGGACCACCAAGCCUGUCAGGCUGGAGUUGGGACAAGAUAGCCCUUGGCAUGGUGCCCCCUCAUGGACGGCCCUCAGGAAAGGACCAUGAGGAGGCUGAGGAUGUGGCAGAGGAGGAGCAGCAGCCCAGCUCUGGUGGGGUGAGAGCUCUGCGGAGGGCAUCUGCCCACCUGGAAAGGCCCCUCAGGACAGGGAUGAGCGUGUGACCCCACACAGACUCCAGACCCCACCCAGUGCCGCCCAUGUCCACGAGCCCUGGGAACCGAGGGGCUGUGCGGUGGGCUGCGUCAAGCACCAUUCUCCCCCUGCCGAGGCAUCUGCACGCUGGGAGGAGGGAAGCCCAUGGGUGUCCCGGGUGGCCACAGCAACCUGCUGGGGAUGUACUGGCUGCUUCUUUUCUUUUUAAAUAUGUCUCUGGGGAUGGACACCAGGGCCUUUUGCAUGCCGAGUGUGCACUGUACCACUGAGCUACACCUCCGGCUCCGAAUGCAUUUGUUUGUUGGUUAUUUAUUUUAGUUAGGGAGGUCAGAAGUCUGACAUGGGUCUCCCUGGGCUACAGUCAGGAGGUCAGUAGGGCAGGCUCCCUCCUGAGGUUCCAGGCGGGAUCCACUGCCCCAUGUUUUCUGGCUCCUGGUGCUGCCUGCUCUCCUUGGCUUUCAGCCCCCUCUUCCAUCCUCUAAGCCAGCAGCAGCAUUUCACUCUUUCUCUGACCAUAGCUGGGAAAGGUUCUCUGCUGUUCAGGAUCCAUGACGCGAUUAUGAGGUCACCCCCAGCAGGGUUAGGGAGACAGAGACCUCAGCCCUGCUCACAGGCCAGGCCCAGGGGCCUCAAACAGACACCUACCCUUCUUCCCCACCUGGGGUGGGAGUGCCCAGCCUGGAGGUCCCCAGCUUGAGGAUUGUCCCCUGAUCAGUGGCAGAAGGGAGGGAGGAGGGAACGCCCACUAGGCAGGACCUCUUCGUGCCUGGCGCUGCUGGCCUAGUGCCCUUCUCCUCCUCCCGGCCCCGCGGGAGGCAGGUUAGUUGCUCAUCUUGCAGAUGCCAGAGCUGAAGCUCUCAGGAGCAGCAGCUUGUUCACAGAGGAGACUGGCUUCUACAGAGAGCCUGGGAAACCUCGUGGUGGGCAGAGAAGUAGGUGUGGCUGGGACAGUCCCAUGAGCAGGAGGGCAGAGGUGCUGAGAUGCCAGUCGUCCCAGCAAGCCCUGUGCCAAGCCUUCUGCACUCACUGAUGGGCACCUGAGAAGUGCCUGCAAUCACGUCUCUGACUGUAAAGGGGAGAGACAGGCUCAGAAAGGUGGCGUGUUUUCCCAGAGACUCACAGCUCCCCGGAGCUCUUCUGCUCUGACUUCACACCUUGCCCUGCAUCCUUCCCGCAGGCGCACCGCGGGCAGCAGGUCUGUGGGUGGUCUUGGGGAGGCUGAUGGUCCCUUGUUGGAGCACUUAGCUGCCUCUCUGGAAUCUUUCUCUAGCAUGGAUUUUCACAUAGACAGGGGCCAGGGCAGUGCACAGUUAAAUGUGGUGGUUAAACGCUGCUGCCUGUGGAGCUGGGCCAUUCUGAGUUCAAAUCCUGAUGCCACCACUUUGGGGUGAUCUUUGGCAUGUUGCUGACCUCUCUGUACUUAGGUUUCCCAUCUGCAAGAUGGGGAUGAUAAUGUCACAAGACCCCAGUCGACCCCUGGGAGGCUCUUGCUGGCAAUAGAUCCUGCCCAGAGCCCUCCCUCCCAUGCAACCCUGCACACACUCAAGGGCAGAUGGAUGCCCCCCCUACCCCUGUAUGGCCACAAAGAUUCAGGCUGAUUUCUCAGCAAAUUGCUAACCACUUGCCCUAGGGCCUCAGCAGAAGCAGGGCUGGAUGUCCUGGAUCAAUCUGGACUUGUUCUGAGGCUAGGAGCUUCUUGCCAGAGGCCUGAUUGGAUCCCACUUCUGCCCAUCACCAGGACAAAGGAUCUAGGACCUGGAGCUAGCCAGGAGCUGCUCUUGCUCCCUGACACCAGGAGGCAAGGACAGUGAGCACUAGUAUCCUUCCUGCUUUUAUAGGUGGGUCAACUGAGCCCAGACCGCCUAGAUAACUUGCCUAAGGCUGCACCUGGAAGGGCAGGGCUGGACCUUGGUGGUGGCUAGACUCCAAGCCCAGGGCUGCAUGGGGUCACUUGCUGCCUCCAGGGGCAUAGCCUUUCCUGCUCUCGCUUAGGCAGUAGUCCUUGGUGCUUUCCAGACAGGUGGUAGCUCUUCCUGCUGCAUUGGAAGAAUAGGCCCAGGGCCGUCAGGACAGAAGGGCCUGUCCUGACCAGGGAGGACCCUUGGAGAAAGGGACUUGUGAGUGGGGGACCCCAAGCUACACCUGAGGCCAGCCCCAUUGCGGCUUGCUUGCAGAGAGGUGGAGGUGUGCAUGGCAGGAUGAGGCUGUGCAGCUGGAAACGUUGCGCUGCGGGGGCUUGGGGCGUAGCACAUAUUCUGGCCCGAGCACUGGUGCACUGCUCUGACUAAGAACUUGAGAGAAUUUUCCAAGAGCAGCGUUUGGAGAUGGGGUGGACUUUGAUAUGGGAGGGUGGGCCAGGGCAUGCACCCCAAGACUAGACCCUGUGGAGGGCAUGAUUGGUCGGCGUCCCUUCUGAGCUGUCCGUGCCAUGACUGCCGCCUCGGGUCUGGCAUGGGAGGAGUUAAGUUGCAGCGGGCACCUUGGCACGUUGGGCUGGCCAGAAUGUCCAGCUCCCCACCCCCACUGCUUUUCUUCCUUUUUGCCUUUUUCCUUCUUAAUUAAUCAUACGCUGCUGCCCAAUUUAAAUAUGGAAAUGCCCAGGCCAGCGAUGCGAUUAUUCAUGAGGCCAGGCAGGCUGUCCGGGGCGCUCGGGCUACGGGAGCCCGGCGGCACCCCCUCCUUUCUGAUGUGUGUGAAAUUAUGUGCACAAAAGGCGCCUCCUUAUCUGGGUGUGUGAACUAAAUAAAUAAAUAAGGGCUUUUGUUUGUUUGCCGG
Molecule: long non-coding RNA, 5326 nt
Organism: Sciurus carolinensis (gray squirrel)
Lineage: Eukaryota; Metazoa; Chordata; Mammalia; Rodentia; Sciuridae
Exons: 2
Source: RefSeq, a predicted model, not a curated record